This 253-nucleotide ribosomal RNA is filed under the name uncultured bacterium. Its description in RNAcentral is "partial 16S ribosomal RNA". It matches the Rfam family "Bacterial small subunit ribosomal RNA", at positions 524 to 776 of the family's 1533-position model. The record is from RNAcentral.
UACAGAGGUCUCAAGCGUUGUUCGGACUUACUGGGCGUAAAGGGUGCGCAGGCCGCGCGGGCAGUCAAAUGUGUAAUCCAGGGGCUCAACCCCUGAACUGCGCUUGAUACUUCCGCGCUCGAGCUUUGGAGAGGAGUCUGGAAUUCUCGGUGUAGCAGUGAAAUGCGUGGAUAUCGAGAAGAACACUUAGGGCGAAGGCAAGACUCUGGACAAAUGCUGACGCUCAUGCACGAAGGCUAGGGUAGCGAACGGG